RNAcentral lists this ribosomal RNA (468 nucleotides) under uncultured bacterium. RNAcentral's name for it is "partial 16S ribosomal RNA". It matches the Rfam family "Bacterial small subunit ribosomal RNA", at positions 28 to 507 of the family's 1533-position model. The record is from RNAcentral.
GACGAACGCUGGCGGCGUGCUUAACACAUGCAAGUCGAACGGAAAGGCCCUGCUUUUGUGGGGUGCUCGAGUGGCGAACGGGUGAGUAACACGUGAGUAACCUGCCCUUGACUUGGGGAUAACUUCAGGAAACUGGGGCUAAUACCGGAUAGGAGCUCCUGCUGCAUGGUGGGGGUUGGAAAGUUUCGGCGGUUGGGGAUGGACUCGCGGCUUAUCAGCUUGUUGGUGGGGUAGUGGCUUACCAAGGCUUUGACGGGUAGCCGGCCUGAGAGGGUGACCGGCCACAUUGGGACUGAGGUACGGCCCAGACUCCUACGGGGGGCAGCAGUGGGGAGUAUUGCACAAUGGGCGGAAGCCUGAUGCAGCAACGCCGCGUGCGGGAUGACGGCCUUCGGGUUGUAAACCGCUUUCGCCUGUGACGAAGCGUGAGUGACGGUAAUGGGUAAAGAAGCACCGGCUAACUACGUG